CUACGGGGCGCUCCAGUGAGGAAUAUUGCACAAUGGGGGGAACCCUGAUGCAGCAACGCCGCGUGGAGGAUGACGCAUUUCGGUGUGUAAACUCCUUUUAUAUGUCAAGAAAAUGACGGUAGCAUAUGAAUAAGUACCGGCUAACUCCGUGCCAGCAGCCGCGGUAAUACGGAGGGUGCAAGCGUUACUCGGAAUCACUGGGCGUAAAGGACGCGUAGGCGGGUUGGAAAGUCAGGUGUGAAAUCCUACAGCUUAACUGUAGAACUGCACUUGAAACUUCUAAUCUAGAGUAUGGGAGGGGGAGAUGGAAUUAGUGGUGUAGGUGUAAAAUCCGUAGAUAUCACUAGGAAUACCUAAAGCGAAGGCGAUCUCCUGGAACAUUACUGACGCUAAGGCGUGAAAGCGUGGGGAGCAAACAGGAUUAGAUACCCCUGUAGUC
Molecule: ribosomal RNA, 439 nt
Filed under: uncultured bacterium
Lineage: Bacteria
Description: partial 16S ribosomal RNA
Rfam family: Bacterial small subunit ribosomal RNA
Source: RNAcentral